UGCAGUCGACGACUGCCCCACUAAACGCAAUUUUGCCGGCUUCAGAACACGGUGUCGCGUUGAUUUGCGCUUCUCGUCCAUCGGAAACCUGCCCUGUUGGCGGCACAAUGCGGGGCAUCUCCAGGUUGUCACCCCAUGAUCGAGGUGAAGAUGCCCUUGCCACCCGCAAGCCGGAAAAUCGUUCUGGGUGUGGCGAUCCAUCUUGCACACCCGAA
Molecule: unclassified non-coding RNA, 215 nt
Filed under: Hevea brasiliensis (rubber tree)
Lineage: Eukaryota; Viridiplantae; Streptophyta; Magnoliopsida; Malpighiales; Euphorbiaceae
Source: RNAcentral